GGCCGCACAAUUUUAACUGUGCAAAGGUAGCAUAAUCACUAGUUUUUUAAUUGAAAGCUUGAAUGAAUGGUUGGACGAGGUACUAACUGUUUCAUAUUAAAAUUUAGAAUUUAAUUUUUUGGUAAAAAAGCCUAGAUUUUUUUGAAAGACGAGAAGACCCUAUAGAUCUUUAUAAUUUUAUUAUAAUUAUUUUAUAAGGAUUAAUUUAAUUAAUAUAUUUAAAUUUAUUUUGUUGGGGUGAUAUAGAUAUUUAUUAAACUUUCUUUAUUUUUUUUUACAUUUAUUUAUGAUUUUAUAUGAUCCUUUAUUUUAGAUUAUAAAUUUAAGUUACCUUAGGGAUAACAGCGUAAUUUUUUCGGAGAGUUCAUAUCGAUGNNNNAGGUUGCAACCUCGAUGUUGGAUUAA
This 405-nucleotide ribosomal RNA is filed under the name Filiolus graminicola. Its description in RNAcentral is "partial large subunit ribosomal RNA". Lineage: Eukaryota; Metazoa; Arthropoda; Insecta; Diptera; Asilidae. The record is from RNAcentral.